AUUGAACGCUGGCGGCAGGCCUAACACAUGCAAGUAGAACGAGUGGCGGAAGGGUGAGUAAGGUCUGGGAAAAUGCCUGAUGGAGGGGGAUAACAACUGGAAACGGUAGCUAAUACCGCAUACCAUCGGAUGUGCCCAGAUGUGAUUAGCGAGUAGGUGGGGUAAAGGCUAACCUAGGCGACGAUCCCUAGCUGGUCUGAGAGGAUGACCAGCCACACUGGAACUGAGACACGUUCCAGACUCCUACGGGAGGCAGCAGUGGGGAAUAUUGCACAAUGGGCGCAAGCCUGAUGCAGCCAUGCCGCGUGUAUGAAGAAGGCCUUCGGGUUGUAAAGUACUUUCAGCGGGGAGGCGUUACCCGCAGAAGAAGCACCGGCUAACUCCGUGCCAGCAGCCGCGGUAAUUC
RNAcentral lists this ribosomal RNA (406 nucleotides) under uncultured bacterium. Its description in RNAcentral is "partial 16S ribosomal RNA". It matches the Rfam family "Bacterial small subunit ribosomal RNA", at positions 30 to 526 of the family's 1533-position model. The record is from RNAcentral.